CAAUAGCGUAUAUUAAAGUUGUUGCAGUUAAAAAGCUCGUAGUUGGACCUUGGACCUGGACAGGCGGUCCGCCUCACGGCGAGUACUGUCUUGCUGGGUCUUUCCUCUUGGUGAUCUGUUGUUUCGGCAGCAGGGAACCAGGACCUUUACUUUGAAAAAAUUAGAGUGUUCAAAGCAGGCUCGACGCCGGAAUAUAUUAGCAUGGAAUAAUAAAAUAGGACGUGCGGUUCUAUUUUGUUGGUUUUUGGAAUCGCCGUAAUGAUUAAUAGGGACAGUCGGGGGCAUUAGUACUCACAUGCUAGAGGUGAAAUUCUCAGAUUCCCGGAAGAGCAACUUAUGCGAAAGCAUUCACCAAGGAUGUCUNCUUUAA
This 370-nucleotide ribosomal RNA is filed under the name uncultured eukaryote. Its description in RNAcentral is "partial 18S ribosomal RNA". It matches the Rfam family "Eukaryotic small subunit ribosomal RNA", at positions 592 to 976 of the family's 1831-position model. The record is from RNAcentral.